This is a non-coding RNA of Triticum aestivum (bread wheat), 124 nucleotides long. The record is from Rfam. Lineage: Eukaryota; Viridiplantae; Streptophyta; Magnoliopsida; Poales; Poaceae.
AAAGUACUCCGUCCGUCCCAAAAUUCUUGUCUUAGAUUUGUCUAGAUACAGAUGUAUCAAGUCACAGAUACAUCCGUAUCUAGACAAAUCUAAGACAAGAAAUUUGGGACAGAGGGAGCUGUUG